Molecule: ribosomal RNA, 394 nt
Filed under: uncultured soil bacterium
Lineage: Bacteria
Description: bacterial SSU rRNA
Rfam family: Bacterial small subunit ribosomal RNA
Source: RNAcentral
AGGACGAACGCUGGCGGCGUGCUUAACACAUGCAAGUGGAGCGACGAAGCCGACUUCGGUCGGUGGCAGAGCCGCGAACGGGUGAGUAACACGUGGGUAACGUGCCCCAAUCACUGGGACAACCCGGGGAAACCCGGGCUAAUACCGGAUGUGGUCCUCUCACAUCAGUGAGUUGACUAAAGGUAGCUUCGGCUUCCGGAUUGGGAUCGGCCCGCGGCGCAUUAGCUUGUUGGUGGGGUUAAAGGCCUACCAAGGCGACGAUGCGUAGCUGGUCUGAGAGGACGAUCAGCCACACUGGGACUGAGACACGGCCAGACUCCUACGGGAGCAGCAGUGGGGAAUCUUGCGCAAUGCGCGAAAGCGUGACGCAGCAACGCGCGUGGGGGAACGGGGC